GGCUGAGGGAAGAACGCCGUGUAUCUGAGGGACUCGCUCACGAGAGGCCGAGGGCGGGACACCUCAGUGGGCCUGCCUGCCUCCCCCGCUUUACUUACGCGAAAGGGCUUUCCGACGCGCAGCUCUGCGCCACGCGCGCAGCCCGAACCUGAGGAGAAAUUAGGCCCUUCCUUAUAUAGCCCUCCCCCCCGCGUAAAAAUGAAUUUAGGCUGCCGAACCUGGCUAUCGUCGUGUAUCAUUUCUUUACCAGAAAAAAAAUAAUCUCGAGAAGGGACCCAGAGGGUCAUCAAGUCCAACCCGCUGCAAAUGCGGGUAUCUUUUGCCCCACCUGGGGCUCAAACUCACGACCCUGAGGUUUUCAGAGUCUCAAGCCCACACCAAGCUCCCACGUCAGUUUGGAGGGGUAGGUUGCCCAGCAAAUUUUGUUGCCCGCUUUCAGCAUAAGCUGAAAGGAUAAAUCCGAGGCAAAUCAAAAGGCGGUGAAGUUUUUGUUGUCGCUGAUCGUGCAACAGGGAACUGGCGACAUCAAAUCAAUAAGAGCUACCGGUAAUUAAAACCAGCUCCAGCGGAUGAGAAAAGGGCAUUUUGAAACAACAACAACAACAGAGUCUUCCUCUGUAACUGGAAAGUUGUUGAAGGUAAUCUAAGCAUUCCCAAUACAGAGGAAUGGUUCCACCACCAAAAAAAGCCUCUUCUCUGGUCAGCACCUGCUUCCUCACAGAUGGUAGUAUCAUAGAAUUGUAGAUUUGGAAGCGACCAUGAGGGUCAUCUAAGUCCAACCCACUGCAAUGCAUCCAACAUGAACCUCAAACCCAUGACCCUGAGAUCAAGAGUCAUGCUCUACCAACUGAGUUAUAUGAUUCAAAGGAGGGACUCGGAUGAAAAUCAUAAGGUUUUGGAUAUACAAGUUUUUUUAAAAAAUAAUAAUAUAUAACAGCAUGUCCAACUCCCAAGAGACUGCGAUCUACUCCCACUAUAAAAAAAACCUGGCGGUGAUCUACCCAUUGGAUCUACCCAUUCUUUUUUUGGGGGGGGACAUCAAUCAGAAUCACACAAUCGACCAGGAUCAACCGGGGUGGACCGUGAGUGACCAGUAGAUCGCAAUUGACUGGUUGGACAUGCCUGAUAUAUGACUCUUCCUAGUGUUAUGAGUUUGGGGAAGUAGGCUGUACACCUAGACCCUUCUAGUCCCUGAAUCUAGCAAGUGUUAAAAUAAAAGCCAGCCUAUCUUCUUGAUGAGACAAUUGCCUGGGUGAUGGGCCAUUAUUAAGAGAACUAAGGAAAGGGGUUCUGUGUAAGAUAGAAAUGGGUACCACCCACUCACUCUGCAACGGUUAAUUAGAAGGAAAAGGCAGAGUUGAGUGGCAGUGAAGCAAAAAAGCAGCAGGCCAGGGAAAUAGACAGAACAACGUUUGUCUUCUGUUUGAACCCAAGGCUGUGGUUAUGGGAGAAACGAGACCUUUUUGCUAUGAACCCCUCCAUUGUAAGCCCAGGUUAUAAACCAUAUAUCACAAAAGCACCAGAGUCUCCAUUGCGCCUCAUUCCCAAAGGAAACAUGAAUCCUGGGUAAGUGUCUGAAACCCCUGGGAUCUCAUACCACUCAGAGAUUGGGUGCCAUGUAAUACUCCGUACAGAAUUACAGAAACUACAAAUAACGAAUGGUAGUUUGUUGUCCACAUGACAUUGUCUUCAACAAAAUGCCAUUCCAUAGUUUGAACACCCCCCCCCCAUUAAAUCACAAUUUAUCAUUUCUGCAGUGGGGGUGGGGUUUGCUUACUGGUUUAUUUUUAUUUUUUUGGUUGAAACAGUAAAUCCAGAUAUGCAACAGCAUUUUGGUGAGGUCGAAAUUGUGUGGACACUGCACAAAACUUUUCACACAAGAGCAGCAGCACUCAGUUCACUCUAAACUACCGUGUGAAACUCCCCGAUAAUGGAAAUGGAAAUAAAGAAUCAUGGGUGGUGUAACUACAGCCAAAAUUUUCCCCAUUUGUGUGCAGGCAUUCUUUCCUUUUCAUGCAACACUGCCAUUUUUAUCUUGCUCAUAAUAAAUUCUACAGACUGAAGUGUGCUGUUUUCUUUUUUGCUUGCCAGUUCCAGGGAGCGUUGAAGACUUGAGGCCAAGGGCAUAAAGAGAUUUAUCAAUCAAACAGUUGAGAAAGGAACUUCUCAAUAAAGUUGUUUCUCAUUUAGGG
Podarcis lilfordi (Lilford's wall lizard) is the source of this 2192-nucleotide non-coding RNA. Lineage: Eukaryota; Metazoa; Chordata; Lepidosauria; Squamata; Lacertidae. The record is from the annotation of a GenBank genome assembly.